This 938-nucleotide long non-coding RNA is filed under the name Astyanax mexicanus (Mexican tetra). Its description in RNAcentral is "lncRNA (ENSAMXG00005007694.1)". Lineage: Eukaryota; Metazoa; Chordata; Actinopteri; Characiformes; Acestrorhamphidae. The record is from RNAcentral.
UCAAACUGUAGUCCUUUUGCCUUUAUUAUAGAUACUGACCCAAUAACCUAAACAUCCUCUCCUCUGUCUGCCAGAUGUUUCUACAGCCAUCCAGUUCCAGACGAAAGGUAAACCAAACACUUGAAGAUAUUUACCUUGUUCUUGACUGUUGCCAAAGUGGAAUUUGUCCUGAUGGUGUAUUUUUACUAUGUAUUCCCUUUUUUUGCAGAUAUUGAAGCUGUCAAAGGUACAUGGUUUUAACAUCCAAAGCAUGCAGAUUAAUUAUUACGAUCUGUUUUGAUGGUUUUGAUCAUUUUUUUUUUGUAAAUUUGUUUUGUAGAGUUUGAUGGCACAUAUGACUACGACUAUGACUACAACAUCCAUUAUGAUUCCUGUAAGUCAAACAAGCAAAUAUCAAAUCGUAUGUCAUUUUUCAUUCAUUUUUAAUAAGGAAGGUUUUACAUAAAUAUGAAUAAACAUAUGUCUUUCUUCAUAGACUCUGAUGCAGAAGAAGCUGGUAAGUAUAUAUAUAUAUAUAUAUAUUUCAAAUCCAGUAUGGUGGCAUGUAGAGCCUAAAUCAUGAUGAAUGUGUCACUGUCCAAAUAUUCCAAAUAUUUUGGGUCCUAACUUAUAUAUUUUUUUUAAAAAGAAGGAAUAUUCCCAUUGUGAGUUACUGUCCAAAUACUUAUGCAAGUAUAGAAUAAUAUAUAUAUAUAUUUUUUUAAUCCCUUUCAUUACAGCUGCUCCAGACACUCCCUCAAUAAGUUCAGUUCGAGUCUUCUCCUCCUCAGUGGAUGGAGACCCGCAUUUUGUCGUAACUCUCCCGAAGCUACACCAGAAUCUGUGCUUUACUGUUGAUGGUGAAGCCAAUGAUGUGUUGCUUCUUUUGGAAGACCCAGGCAGAGGUAACAUUCAGUUAUGAUUACUUAAAAUAAACAGAAUAUACAGCUCUGAAACCA